AGCCUACUAGCUCAAUUGGUAGAGCAUUGUGAAAUACACAAACAAUGUGGGUUCAAAUCCCACUAGGCUC
Molecule: non-coding RNA, 70 nt
Organism: Beta vulgaris subsp. vulgaris (sugar beet)
Lineage: Eukaryota; Viridiplantae; Streptophyta; Magnoliopsida; Caryophyllales; Amaranthaceae
Source: Rfam